AGAGGAAGGAUCCAAAGGGAUCGCAUUGAUCCUAAUUAAGGUGAAUUUUCCCGAUUAUUUUCUUGGUUAUUGUCAAAAGAAAUACCAACAAAAUUAUUGGUUAAUUUUGGAUCAUGCUAUCCCUUUGAAUUCAUCCUU
Molecule: non-coding RNA, 138 nt
Organism: Brassica napus (rape)
Lineage: Eukaryota; Viridiplantae; Streptophyta; Magnoliopsida; Brassicales; Brassicaceae
Source: Rfam